RNAcentral lists this long non-coding RNA (1541 nucleotides) under Cyanistes caeruleus (blue tit). RNAcentral's name for it is "lncRNA (ENSCCEG00000003241.1)". Lineage: Eukaryota; Metazoa; Chordata; Aves; Passeriformes; Paridae. The record is from RNAcentral.
CCCUCACACAGGCGGGCCGCCCACGGGCCCCGCGCAGGCGUGUGGAGAGCUGCGCAGCGGGAAAGCGGGUCUUGCCUUGUUUUGCAAAUCGCAAUAUCCCAGAACGGCUGAGGUUGGAAGGAACCGCAGCGGGUCAGCUGGUCCAAACUCAUCCUACAGCACAUGACACAGGAUCCCAUCCAGAUGAUUCUUGAAUAUCUCAAAUGAGGGAGACUCCACAACUUCCCUGGGCAACCUGUUCCAGUGCAUGGUCACCCACACAAUACAGUUUUUCCUCGUGUGGAGUUGGAACUUCCCGUGCAUCAAGUUAUUCCCAUUGCCUCUUGUCCUGUUGCUUAGCACCACCAAGCAGAGCCUGGCUCCAUUCUCUGACACCCUCCCUUCAGAUACUGAUAGACAUUGAAGAAGCCCACACUCGAGGCUGAACAGCUACCUCAGCCUUUCCUCAUAAGAAAGAUGCUCCGGUUGACUAUUCAUCCUUGUUGCACUCCUCUGGUUGCUCCAGGAGCUCCACGUCUCUUGUACUGAGGAAUAAAGAACUGAACACACCACUUCUGAUGCAGUCCCACCAGGGCUGAGUAGAGGAGCAGAAUCAACCCCCUCAAUCUGCUGACAAUGCUCUUCCCCAGGACACCACUGGUGCUCUCGGCCACAGGGGCACUGCCUGGGCUCAUGGACAGCUUGUUGUCCACGAGGACCCCCAGGUCUUUCUCUGAAGAGCUGCUUUCCAGCAGGUCAGUGGUAAUGAUAAGCUUUUACCCCAAAGUGCGGAACCUGAUGUAUGUCUGCAUUUUUUUUCCCAGUCCUUCAUGUCAGUGAAGAACUUGGAAACUGGCAGAAGCACUCCAGGAUUAAGGAUAAUUUUUUGGUCAUGGAAUAGUCAAUGGAGGAGAAGGGAUGGGAUGUACUUGCUGGGGGAACCACAACUUACAUUGAGUAUAAUUCUGAUUUCCAAACUCAAUUGUGCCAAGUUUGUUUUCCUCAGCUCUGAAGAGGUGAACAAGGUGGUUCUUCCAAGGCUUCUUGGAAGAACAAAGCUUCUUACAAGGUGUAUUAGCUGUUCUUGAUCAAACUUGGAACAACCUGAGGCUACUGUGACUUAAGCAGGAGCCAGAUCAAAUAUCAGUCAGUGUUAACUCUUAACUGUAUGAAAAAGGUAGAGCUGAAAAUUCCCACCAGCACUCCCGAAGGUACUGGCUAGAACAUGUAACAGAAACAGUGGAAAUAAUUAACCAGAACUACCCACACUAGGCUCCAAGGUACACAGAAUUGCAGUCAUUGUUCUGUUCUCUUGGUAUGAGCUGCCAUGCCUGCUUUCCUUGCACUGAUAGUUCUCUAGGCUUGGAGAUUAAAUUACUCUGAUUCCUUGGCCUGAAUCCUACUUCUAAUGGAAGUAAGUGACUGACGUAGUCUGAUUUUGGGUACCUUGUUGUGUACCUGAUAUUGUGGAAUUAAACUGUCUUGUCUUCUACUCUGUACUGCUGGAAAAAUAACUGGCAGGUACUUCUGAAUAAAUUGUCACAAAUGCUUUCUGUGAAGCA